GCCAACGUUCAUAUCACGUUGAAUACACCAGUUCUCGUCCGAUCACUGAAGUUAAGCAACGUUGAGCGUGGAUAGUUAUCACACGCGAGUGCAAGAC
RNAcentral lists this ribosomal RNA (97 nucleotides) under Diaphorina citri (Asian citrus psyllid). The record is from RNAcentral. Lineage: Eukaryota; Metazoa; Arthropoda; Insecta; Hemiptera; Psyllidae.